RNAcentral lists this ribosomal RNA (253 nucleotides) under uncultured bacterium. RNAcentral's name for it is "partial 16S ribosomal RNA". It matches the Rfam family "Bacterial small subunit ribosomal RNA", at positions 524 to 776 of the family's 1533-position model. The record is from RNAcentral.
UACGGAGGGUGCAAACGUUGCUCGGAAUCAUUGGGCGUAAAGCGCACGUAGGCGGGCCAUCAAGUCGGUUGUGAAAUCCCUCGGCUUAACCGAGGACGUGCAUUCGAAACUGAUGGCCUUGAGUACGAAAGAGGAUCGCGGAAUUCCCGGUGUAGAGGUGAAAUUCGUAGAUAUCGGGAGGAACACCAGUGGCGAAGGCGGCGUCUGGGUCGAUACUGACGCUGAGGCACAAGGCCCAGGGGGAGCAAACGGG